RNAcentral lists this ribosomal RNA (253 nucleotides) under uncultured bacterium. Its description in RNAcentral is "partial 16S ribosomal RNA". It matches the Rfam family "Bacterial small subunit ribosomal RNA", at positions 524 to 776 of the family's 1533-position model. The record is from RNAcentral.
GACAGAGGGUGCAAACGUUGUUCGGAAUUAUUGGGCGUAAAGAGCUCGUAGGCGGUCUGUUGCGUCCGCUGUGAAAACCCGGGGCUUAACCCCUGGCUUGCAGUGGAUACGGACAGACUAGAGGUAGGUAGGGGAGAAUGGAAUUCCCGGUGUAGCGGUGAAAUGCGCAGAUAUCGGGAGGAACACCGGUGGCGAAGGCGGUUCUCUGGGCCUUACCUGACGCUGAGGAGCGAAAGCGUGGGGAGCGAACAGG